CGGCAUUGGCGGGCAGCUACACAUGCAAGUCGAGCGGUAGCACAGAGAGCUUGCUCUCGGGUGACGAGCGGCGGACGGGUGAGUAAUGUCUGGGAAACUGCCUGAUGGAGGGGGAUAACUACUGGAAACGGUAGCUAAUACCGCAUAACGUCGCAAGACCAAAGUGGGGGACCUUCGGGCCUCUUGCCAUCAGAUGUGCCCAGAUGGGAUUAGCUAGUAGGUGGGGUAACGGCUCACCUAGGCGACGAUCCCUAGCUGGUCUGAGAGGAUGACCAGCCACACUGGAACUGAGACACGGUCCAGACUCCUACGGGGAGGCAGCCAA
RNAcentral lists this ribosomal RNA (325 nucleotides) under Klebsiella pneumoniae. Its description in RNAcentral is "bacterial SSU rRNA". It matches the Rfam family "Bacterial small subunit ribosomal RNA", at positions 57 to 352 of the family's 1533-position model. The record is from RNAcentral. Lineage: Bacteria; Pseudomonadati; Pseudomonadota; Gammaproteobacteria; Enterobacterales; Enterobacteriaceae.